AUUGAACGCUGGCGGCAUGCCUUACACAUGCAAGUCGAACGGCAGCGGGGGAGAAGCUUGCUUUUCCUGCCGGCGAGUGGCGAACGGGUGAGUAAUACAUCGGAACGUGCCCUGUAGUGGGGGAUAACUAGUCGAAAGAUUAGCUAAUACCGCAUACGACCUGAGGGUGAAAGUGGGGGACCGCAAGGCCUCAUGCUAUAGGAGCGGCCGAUGUCUGAUUAGCUAGUUGGUGGGGUAAAGGCCUACCAAGGCGACGAUCAGUAGCUGGUCUGAGAGGACGAUCAGCCACACUGGGACUGAGACACGGCCCAGACUCCUACGGGAGUCAGCAGUGGGGAAAUUUGGACAAUGGGCGAAAGCCUGAUCCAGCAAUGCCGCGUGUGUGAAGAAGGCCUUCGGGUUGUAAAGCACUUUUGUCCGGAAAGAAAUGGCUCUGGUUAAUACCUGGGGUCGAUGACGGUACCGGAAGAAUAAGGACCGGCUAACUACGUGCCAGCAGCCGCCGUAA
Molecule: ribosomal RNA, 508 nt
Filed under: uncultured bacterium
Lineage: Bacteria
Description: partial 16S ribosomal RNA
Rfam family: Bacterial small subunit ribosomal RNA
Source: RNAcentral